RNAcentral lists this ribosomal RNA (247 nucleotides) under uncultured Gemella sp. Its description in RNAcentral is "partial 16S ribosomal RNA". It matches the Rfam family "Bacterial small subunit ribosomal RNA", at positions 116 to 356 of the family's 1533-position model. The record is from RNAcentral. Lineage: Bacteria; Bacillati; Bacillota; Bacilli; Caryophanales; Gemellaceae.
CGUAAAGAACCUACCUUAUAGACAGGGACAACUAUUGGAAACGAUAGCUAAUACCUGAUAAGAAAGAAACUCGCAUGAGAGAAGUUCGAAAGUCGGAGCAAUCUGACACUAUAAGAUGGCUUUGCGGUGCAUUAGCUAGUUGGUAGAGUAAAAGCCUACCAAGGCGACGAUGCAUAGCCGACCUGAGAGGGUGAUCGGCCACAUUGGGACUGAGACACGGCCCAGACUCCUACGGGAGGCAGCAGUG